This 207-nucleotide ribosomal RNA is filed under the name uncultured bacterium. RNAcentral describes it as "partial 16S ribosomal RNA". It matches the Rfam family "Bacterial small subunit ribosomal RNA", at positions 568 to 774 of the family's 1533-position model. The record is from RNAcentral.
CGCGUAGGCGGCUUGGCAAGCUUGGUGUUAAAAACAACGGCUUAACCGUUGGUAAGCAUUGGGAACUGCCUGGCUAGAGGUCUGGAGGGGGAGCUGGAAUUCCUGGUGUAGGGGUGAAAUCUGUAGAUAUCAGGAAGAACACCGGUGGCGAAGGCGAGCUCCUGGCCGGAAACUGACGCUGAGGCGCGAAAGCGUGGGGAGCGAACA